ACGCGUGCUCCGGGGUCGGUGUAAUUCCGAGCCGGCGGUGACAGUCCGCGAGCCCGUCCUCUCGAGGUCGGGUUGAGCUGGUGGGACUCCAGCACCGACGGUGAAAGUCCGGAUGGGAGGCAGCACGCGG
This 130-nucleotide non-coding RNA is filed under the name Janibacter hoylei. RNAcentral describes it as "FMN sequence". It matches the Rfam family "FMN riboswitch aptamer (RFN element)". Rfam says of the family: The RFN element is a highly conserved domain that is found frequently in the 5'-untranslated regions of prokaryotic mRNAs that encode for flavin mononucleotide (FMN) biosynthesis and transport proteins. The record is from RNAcentral. Lineage: Bacteria; Bacillati; Actinomycetota; Actinomycetes; Micrococcales; Intrasporangiaceae.